RNAcentral lists this ribosomal RNA (253 nucleotides) under uncultured bacterium. Its description in RNAcentral is "partial 16S ribosomal RNA". It matches the Rfam family "Bacterial small subunit ribosomal RNA", at positions 524 to 776 of the family's 1533-position model. The record is from RNAcentral.
UACGUAGGGGGCAAGCGUUAUCCGGAUUUACUGGGUGUAAAGGGAGCGUAGACGGCAAUACAAGUCGGAAGUGAAAUACCCGGGCUUAACCUGGGAACUGCUUUGGAAACUGUAUGGCUGGAGUGCUGGAGAGGUAAGCGGAGUUCCUAGUGUAGCGGUGAAAUGCGUAGAUAUUAGGAGGAACACCAGUGGCGAAGGCGGCUUACUGGACAGUAACUGACGUUGAGGCUCGAAAGCGUGGGGAGCAAACAGG